Molecule: transfer RNA, 73 nt
Filed under: Fasciola hepatica (liver fluke)
Lineage: Eukaryota; Metazoa; Platyhelminthes; Trematoda; Plagiorchiida; Fasciolidae
Rfam family: tRNA
About the family: Transfer RNA (tRNA) molecules are approximately 80 nucleotides in length. Their secondary structure includes four short double-helical elements and three loops (D, anti-codon, and T loops).
Source: Rfam by way of RNAcentral
ACCGCGGUAGCUCAGUCAAUGGAGCAUCUGCCUGGUAAGCGGAAUGUCGCUGGUUCGUUUCCGGCUCAUGGUG